RNAcentral lists this ribosomal RNA (349 nucleotides) under uncultured Bacteroides sp. RNAcentral's name for it is "bacterial SSU rRNA". It matches the Rfam family "Bacterial small subunit ribosomal RNA", at positions 68 to 414 of the family's 1533-position model. The record is from RNAcentral. Lineage: Bacteria; Pseudomonadati; Bacteroidota; Bacteroidia; Bacteroidales; Bacteroidaceae.
GGUCUUAGCUUGCUAAGGCUGAUGGCGACCGGCGCACGGGUGAGUAACACGUAUCCAACCUGCCGUCUACUCUUGGCCAGCCUUCUGAAAGGAAGAUUAAUCCAGGAUGGGAUCAUGAGUUCACAUGUCCGCAUGAUUAAAGGUAUUUUCCGGUAGACGAUGGGGAUGCGUUCCAUUAGAUAGUAGGCGGGGUAACGGCCCACCUAGUCAACGAUGGAUAGGGGUUCUGAGAGGAAGGUCCCCCACAUUGGAACUGAGACACGGUCCAAACUCCUACGGGAGGCAGCAGUGAGGAAUAUUGGUCAAUGGGCGAUGGCCCGAACCAGCCAAGUAGCGUGAAGGAUGACGG